RNAcentral lists this ribosomal RNA (494 nucleotides) under uncultured bacterium. Its description in RNAcentral is "partial 16S ribosomal RNA". It matches the Rfam family "Bacterial small subunit ribosomal RNA", at positions 28 to 507 of the family's 1533-position model. The record is from RNAcentral.
GACGAACGCUGGCGGCGUGCUUAACACAUGCAAGUCGAACGGUGAAGCGCCUUCCUUUUUGGUGGGUGUGGAUGAGUGGCGAACGGGUGAGUAACACGUGAGUAACCUGCCCCCUUCUUCUGGAUAACCGCAUGAAAGUGUGGCUAAUACGGGAUAUUCUGGGUCUGUCGCAUGAUGGGUCUGGGAAAGAUAUUGUUUCGGUGGGGAAUGGGCUCGCGGCCUAUCAGCUUGUUGGCGGGGUGAUGGCCUACCAAGGCGGUGACGGGUAGCCGGCCUGAGAGGGUGGACGGUCACACUGGGACUGAGACACGGCCCAGACUCCUACGGGAGGCAGCAGUGGGGAAUAUUGCACAAUGGGCGCAAGCCUGAUGCAGCGACGCCGCGUGAGGGAUGGAGGCCUUCGGGUUGUGAACCUCUUUCGCCAGUGAAGCAGGCCUGCCUCGUUUGUGGGUGGGUUGACGGUAGCUGGAUAAGAAGCGCCGGCUAACUACGUG